RNAcentral lists this ribosomal RNA (454 nucleotides) under Pseudomonas sp. Its description in RNAcentral is "bacterial SSU rRNA". It matches the Rfam family "Bacterial small subunit ribosomal RNA", at positions 341 to 787 of the family's 1533-position model. The record is from RNAcentral. Lineage: Bacteria; Pseudomonadati; Pseudomonadota; Gammaproteobacteria; Pseudomonadales; Pseudomonadaceae.
ACGGGAGGCAGCAGUGGGGAAUAUUGGACAAUGGGCGAAAGCCUGAUCCAGCCAUGCCGCGUGUGUGAAGAAGGUCUUCGGAUUGUAAAGCACUUUAAGUUGGGAGGAAGGGCAGUAAAUUAAUACUUUGCUGUUUUGACGUUACCGACAGAAUAAGCACCGGCUAACUCUGUGCCAGCAGCCGCGGUAAUACAGAGGGUGCAAGCGUUAAUCGGAAUUACUGGGCGUAAAGCGCGCGUAGGUGGUUCGUUAAGUUGGAUGUGAAAUCCCCGGGCUCAACCUGGGAACUGCAUCCAAAACUGGCGAGCUAGAGUAUGGUAGAGGGUGGUGGAAUUUCCUGUGUAGCGGUGAAAUGCGUAGAUAUAGGAAGGAACACCAGUGGCGAAGGCGACCACCUGGACUGAUACUGACACUGAGGUGCGAAAGCGUGGGGAGCAAACAGGAUUAGAUACCC